This is a long non-coding RNA of Ornithorhynchus anatinus (platypus), 271 nucleotides long. RefSeq lists it as uncharacterized. The record is from RefSeq and is a predicted model, not a curated record. The transcript is spliced from 3 exons. Lineage: Eukaryota; Metazoa; Chordata; Mammalia; Monotremata; Ornithorhynchidae.
GCCUUGGGUGCUGCCGCUCCUUCCCUCCUCUUUUCUGGUCUCCCCCACCCCGCCUCCCCACGCUUAGCCUUUCUUCCCCGCGUGUGCGGGCCGCUCCUCCGGAGGCUGCCGCCCUGCUCCGCGGGGCGGGCUGCGGCUCUGCGGCUGCCUGGCCGGCGCACAGGUGACCACGGUACUGUCGAUGAUGCCUGUACUUUGCUCAAAUGCAGUGAAACAUAUGCAGUUGCUGAAGAGGUGGUGGCGGUGAUGUUAGUCUCUCCGAUUAUUGUUG